AGCUUUGCGCAGUGGCAGUAUCGUAGCCAAUGAGGUUUAUCUGAGGUGCGAUUAUUGCUCAUUGAAAACUUCUCCCAAUACCCCGCUGUGACAACUUGAAAUAUAGUUGGCACUGGCAAUUUUUGAUGGUCUUUACAGAGA
This is a small nuclear RNA of Artibeus jamaicensis (Jamaican fruit-eating bat), 141 nucleotides long. RefSeq annotates it as U4 spliceosomal RNA. Lineage: Eukaryota; Metazoa; Chordata; Mammalia; Chiroptera; Phyllostomidae. The record is from RefSeq and is a predicted model, not a curated record. The transcript has a single exon.